Molecule: ribosomal RNA, 253 nt
Filed under: uncultured bacterium
Lineage: Bacteria
Description: partial 16S ribosomal RNA
Rfam family: Bacterial small subunit ribosomal RNA
Source: RNAcentral
CACGUAGGGCGCAAGCGUUGUCCGGAAUUAUUGGGCGUAAAGAGCUCGUAGGCGGUCUGUUGCGUCCGCUGUGAAAACCCGGGGCUUAACCCUGGGCUGGCAGUGGAUACGGACAGACUAGAGGUAGGUAGGGGAGAAUGGAAUUCCCGGUGUAGCGGUGAAAUGCGCAGAUAUCGGGAGGAACACCGGUGGCGAAGGCGGCUCACUGGCCCGGUACUGACGCUGAGGUGCGAAAGCGUGGGGAGCAAACAGG